GUGAAAACCAGGGUGGUUUAGACAGGAAACACUUCAUAUUGAUUAAUUAGCAGCUCAGCCGCGGUCGAAUUCCAUCAUUUGUCCAAAGCAGACGACAAGAUUCCGACUCAUCUUUUGAGCAUCGUUUCCGAGGAGAGCGCUCCGUACCCGGACUUCAGAUCCGCAUUUUUCCCACCAAGUAAGGACCUGCUCCAGACAUUUCCCCCGAAUGAUCUAUGGACUGAACAUCUGGAGACUUGGAGGGCAGUUGAAGAUGGAUGAUGUCAUUGUCAUUCUUGUUAAGGCCACCAAUGAACACAUGUGGAGUGGUCCAUGGGAAGAUGGGAAGAAGCAAAGUCUCAUGGAAGAGGGUUGUCACUUAACACAGAUGUUAAGUAUAUAAAUAUAUACAGAAUAAAUGUGUUUUUUUUUUUUCCUGUUCCCACCAGAUGUCAUUAAGACACAUAUUAAUACUGGAGCACUAUUUCAUAAAAUAUGGCAUAUAUUUUAUUCUUUCAGUAUACAUUUCAGUAUAAAGUUUUCAUUUAGUCCACUGCAAAUGAUAAUAUAGCCAUUUCACACUUUUGUCUGUGAAGUCUGACUAAUUGGGGAGAUUAUGGGUUAUGGUUAAGAUGCUGUAAAAAAAUUACCAAACAUGCCAAGAACAAUACACUAGUCACCAUACAGGAAAAAUGACAGGUUGCAAUAAAUCCUGUAAAGCAGAGUGCUCAAUAGAAAUAUCAGGAAAAAAGAAAGCAGCAAGCAGGGGCAGCUGAUAGUGUAGUGGUUAGAGCUGCUGCCUUUGGAUGUGGAGGUUGCUAGUUCAAAUUUUCCCUACUGUUGUGGCACUCUUCAUCUAGGUACUCACCCUUAAAUGCUCCAGUAAGUUUACCCACCUAUAUAAAUGGGUAAGUAACUCUAAGUUGCGUUGGAGAAAAGCAUCAGAUAAGUAUAAAAUCUAGAGUUUAAACAGGAGUUUAUUGUAUCUGUGUGUAUAUAUGAUUGACCAUCAUAAUGGAAAAUGUAUCUGUAGAAAUGAACCUCAGUUAAGUAUUUUAUAUUGGCCCGACGCACUCCCCUAGAGUAUAGAAGACGGAAGAAAAGAACUGGAAUAAAGUUGUUAGCCACAAUAACUCCUUUUUUAUAAAAGCAUUCAAUCCAUGACCAGACAUUUUUCCAGACAUGACC
Long non-coding RNA from Scleropages formosus (Asian bonytongue), 1167 nucleotides. RefSeq lists it as uncharacterized. NCBI's taxonomy places the organism in Eukaryota, Metazoa, Chordata, Actinopteri, Osteoglossiformes, Osteoglossidae. The record is from RefSeq and is a predicted model, not a curated record. The transcript is spliced from 3 exons.